Dendronephthya gigantea is the source of this 746-nucleotide long non-coding RNA. RefSeq lists it as uncharacterized. NCBI's taxonomy places the organism in Eukaryota, Metazoa, Cnidaria, Anthozoa, Malacalcyonacea, Nephtheidae. The record is from RefSeq and is a predicted model, not a curated record. The transcript is spliced from 4 exons.
CGUAGUUUAGACAGCGGUCGUCCUCGGCUAAUUAUAAAUUCACCUAAAUUAACCGUCGUGAUCCCAUGAAGCCCCCUGAAUCACUGUGACACAACAAUUUGAAAGCUGAGAAAGUGCCAGCGAGGGAAGCAUUGUUUUGUUGGCCUAAAUAGACGCGAAAGCUUUGUCUUGCCGAUUUGUUAGCUUUCUCUUUCAUCAUCUUACCAAUAUUUUCACACUUGCUGGCAAAGUUUUAGCUGAGAAUUCAGGUUGGGAAAUAUAUUUGGCCGAUUCAACAGCGGGAAAGAGACUUCAAUCGCCACUUUUCUGAACUAAAUACUAAGCACAAUGGUAAACUCUUGCAACUCGAGGUCACCUAUUCUUUUGGAUACACCAGAACGACCAACCGGCACGGGGGGGAAUACAACAGUAAUUGAAAUACCUGACAGUAAUGAACGAAGUCACCCGAGAAGAAGACGUCUCGAGUCUGUGGAUGGUGUCAUCAUAGCUGAUAACUCAAAGAGAGCCCGUGUUGAUGUACCCGUUAUUGAUCUGACCACUGAUAAUGAAGAUGAGAGCUCCUCCGUUGACAAUAACGCUGACAGCCAAAGUUUCCUUCGAACCCUCGAAAGCUCGCCAUAUUACGCUGAGAUCAUGCGUGGUCGCUUCCUCUCAGACCAUAACAGAUUACGUAUAAGACGAGCUAUGUCAUUACGUCAUCGUCAAUCAUCACACCACGCAAGUCAUCCAGUGGAAGAGCGUCAUAA